RNAcentral lists this ribosomal RNA (255 nucleotides) under uncultured bacterium. RNAcentral's name for it is "partial 16S ribosomal RNA". It matches the Rfam family "Bacterial small subunit ribosomal RNA", at positions 77 to 334 of the family's 1533-position model. The record is from RNAcentral.
CAAACUGAAGAUGGCGACCGGCGCACGGGUGAGUAACACGUAUCCAACCUGCCGAUAACCCCGGAAUAGCCUUUCGAAAGAAAGAUUAAUACCGGAUGGCAUACGAAUAUCGCAUGAUAUUUUUAUUAAAGAAUUUCGGUUAUCGAUGGGGAUGCGUUCCAUUAGUUUGUUGGCGGGGUAACGGCCCACCAAGACUACGAUGGAUAGGGGUUCUGAGAGGAAGGUCCCCCACAUUGGAACUGAGACACGGUCCAA